ACGGGAGGCAGCAGUGGGGAAUAUUGCACAAUGGGCGAAAGCCUGAUGCAGCUAUGCCGCGUGUAUGAAGAAGGCCUUAGGGUUGUAAAGUACUUUCAUCGGGGAGGAAAAAACAAAACUAAUAAUUUUAUUUCUUGACGUUACCCGAAAAAGAAGCACCGGCUAACUCCGUGCCAGCAGCCGCGGUAAUACGGAGGGUGCUAGCGUUAAUCAGAAUUACUGGGCGUAAAGAGCACGUAGGUGGUUUUUUUAAAGUCAGAUGUGAAAUCCCUGGGCUUAACCUAGGAACUGCAUUUUGAAACUGAAAUACUAGAGUAUCGUAGAGGGAGGUAGAAUUCUAGGUGUAGCGGUGAAAUGCGUAGAUAUCUGGAGGAAUACCUGUGGCGAAAGCGGCCUCCUAAACGAAUACUGACACUGAGGUGCGAAAGCGUGGGGAGCAAACAGGGAUUAGAUACC
Molecule: ribosomal RNA, 456 nt
Filed under: uncultured bacterium
Lineage: Bacteria
Description: bacterial SSU rRNA
Rfam family: Bacterial small subunit ribosomal RNA
Source: RNAcentral